GACGUAGGGACCAAGCGUUGUUCGGAUUUACUGGGCGUAAAGGGCGCGUAGGCGGCGUGGUAAGUCACUUGUGAAAUCUCUGAGCUUAACUCAGAACGGCCAAGUGAUACUGCUGUGCUAGAGUGCAGAAGGGGCAAUCGGAAUUCUUGGUGUAGCGGUGAAAUGCGUAGAUAUCAAGAGGAACACCUGAGGUGAAGACGGGUUGCUGGGCUGACACUGACGCUGAUGCGCGAAAGCUAGGGGAGCAAACGGG
This 253-nucleotide ribosomal RNA is filed under the name uncultured bacterium. RNAcentral's name for it is "partial 16S ribosomal RNA". It matches the Rfam family "Bacterial small subunit ribosomal RNA", at positions 524 to 776 of the family's 1533-position model. The record is from RNAcentral.